This 253-nucleotide ribosomal RNA is filed under the name uncultured bacterium. RNAcentral's name for it is "partial 16S ribosomal RNA". It matches the Rfam family "Bacterial small subunit ribosomal RNA", at positions 524 to 776 of the family's 1533-position model. The record is from RNAcentral.
UACGGGGGGGGCAAGCGUUGUUCGGAAUUACUGGGCGUAAAGGGUUUGUAGGUGGCUUGCUAAGUCAGACGUGAAAUCCCUCAGCUUAACUGAGGAACUGCGUCUGAGACUGGCAAGCUUGAGUGCAGGAGAGGAACGCGGAAUUCCAGGUGUAGCGGUGAAAUGCGUAGAUAUCGGGAGGAACACCUGUGGCGAAGGCGGCCCCCUGGUUGGAUACUGACGCUGAGACGCGAAAGCGUGGGGAGCAAACAGG